RNAcentral lists this ribosomal RNA (468 nucleotides) under uncultured bacterium. RNAcentral describes it as "partial 16S ribosomal RNA". It matches the Rfam family "Bacterial small subunit ribosomal RNA", at positions 28 to 507 of the family's 1533-position model. The record is from RNAcentral.
GACGAACGCUGGCGGCGUGCUUAACACAUGCAAGUCGAACGGAAAGGCCCUGCUUUUGUGGGGUGCUCGAGUGGCGAACGGGUGAGUAACACGUGAGUAACCUGCCCUUGACUUUGGGAUAACUUCAGGAAACUGGGGCUAAUACCGGAUAGGAGCUCCUGCUGCAUGGUGGGGGUUGGAAAGUUUCGGCGGUUGGGGAUGGACUCGCGGCUUAUCAGCUUGUUGGUGGGGUAGUGGCUUACCAAGGCUUUGACGGGUAGCCGGCCUGAGAGGGUGACCGGCCACAUUGGGACUGAGAUACGGCCCAGACUGCUACGGGAGGCAGCAGUGGGGAAUAUUGCACAAUGGGCGGAAGCCUGAGGCAGCAACGCCGCGUGCGGGAUGACGGCCUUCGGGUUGUAAACCGCUUUCGCCUGUGACGAAGCGUGAGUGACGGUAAUGGGUAAAGAAGCACCGGCUAACUACGUG